UAAAGGUAUUCCGGUAGACGAUGGGGAUGCGUUCCAUUAGAUAGUAGGCGGGGUAACGGCCCACCUAGUCUUCGAUGGAUAGGGGUUCUGAGAGGAAGGUCCCCCACAUUGGAACUGAGACACGGUCCAAACUCCUACGGGAGGCAGCAGUGAGGAAUAUUGGUCAAUGGGCGAGAGCCUGAACCAGCCAAGUAGCGUGAAGGAUGACUGCCCUAUGGGUUGUAAACUUCUUUUAUAAAGGAAUAAAGUCGGGUAUGGAUACCCGUUUGCAUGUACUUUAUGAAUAAGGAUCGGCUAACUCCGUGCCAGCAGCCGCGGUAAUACGGAGGAUCCGAGCGUUAUCCGGAUUUAUUGGGUUUAAAGGGAGCGUAGAUGGAUGUUUAAGUCAGUUGUGAAAGUUUGCGGCUCAACCGUAAAAUUGCAGUUGAUACUGGAUAUCUUGAGUGCAGUUGAGGCAGGCGGAAUUCGUGGUGUAGCGGUGAAAUGCUUAGAUAUCACGAAGAACUCCGAUUGCGAAGGCAGCCUGCUAAGCUGCAACUGACAUUGAGGCUCGAAAGUGUGGGUAUCAAACAGGAUUAGAUACCCUGGUAGUCCACA
This 597-nucleotide ribosomal RNA is filed under the name uncultured bacterium. Its description in RNAcentral is "bacterial SSU rRNA". It matches the Rfam family "Bacterial small subunit ribosomal RNA", at positions 202 to 799 of the family's 1533-position model. The record is from RNAcentral.